RNAcentral lists this ribosomal RNA (381 nucleotides) under Triticum aestivum (bread wheat). RNAcentral describes it as "partial small subunit ribosomal RNA". The record is from RNAcentral. Lineage: Eukaryota; Viridiplantae; Streptophyta; Magnoliopsida; Poales; Poaceae.
AUGUACCGGUUAGUAUGCGGCAUGCAUGCAAAUCUAACAAUAGAUUCUGCAGAUGACUCUGGAGUGAAUCCGGAGGUCGUGAUAGGGGAUGAGUCGCAUGCUCAACGACAGCUAAAGGCAGGCGAGCGUGUGCUUACACGGGUUAGGCGGGAGAAAAACGAUCUCCAAGACGCCAAUACCCAGCUGGGCGUGGAACUGAAAGAUGUUCGAGCCCAACUUGCUGACUCCGUAAAGGAGAAUAAGCGGCUUCGACGCGGCAUUUUUAGUAAGUGCUUGAACGAACUUUUAAAGAGUUCGGCGAAGAAACCGGCUAACAGAGUUAUGUCUGCAGGUAUGCUAACGGGUCGUCCCGUGGAGGAGAUGCCCGGGGUCUGCGGGUGA